RNAcentral lists this ribosomal RNA (506 nucleotides) under uncultured bacterium. RNAcentral describes it as "bacterial SSU rRNA". It matches the Rfam family "Bacterial small subunit ribosomal RNA", at positions 18 to 518 of the family's 1533-position model. The record is from RNAcentral.
CCUGGCUUAGGAUGAACGCUAGCGACAGGCCUAACACAUGCAAGUCGAGGGGCAGCACAAGGAGCAAUCUGAGGUGGCGACCGGCGCACGGGUGAGUAACACGUAUGCAACCUGCCUGUAAGCGGGGAAUAACCCGUUGAAAGACGGACUAAUACCGCAUAAUACUAAAUUACUGCAUGGUAAUUUAUUUAAACAUUUAUGGCUUACAGAUGGGCAUGCGCAUGAUUAGCUAGUUGGAGAGGUAACGGCUCCCCAAGGCAACGAUCAUUAGGGGUUCUGAGAGGAAGGUCCCCCACACUGGUACUGAGACACGGACCAGACUCCUACGGGAGGCAGCAGUGAGGAAUAUUGGUCAAUGGACGAGAGUCUGAACCAGCCAAGUCGCGUACAGGAAGAAUGUCCUAAUGGAUUGUAAACUGCUUUUGCAGGGGAAUAAAGUGCAUCACGUGUGAUGUUUUGUAUGUACUCUGCGAAUAAGGAUCGGCUAACUCCGUGCCAGCAGCGGC